This 855-nucleotide ribosomal RNA is filed under the name uncultured bacterium. RNAcentral describes it as "bacterial SSU rRNA". It matches the Rfam family "Bacterial small subunit ribosomal RNA", at positions 8 to 911 of the family's 1533-position model. The record is from RNAcentral.
AGGGUUUGAUCAUGGCUCAGAACGUACGCUGGCGGCACGCCUAACACAUGCAAGUCGAACGCAGUAGCAAUACUGAGUGGCAAACGGGUGAGUAUAAUGUGGGAAUCUGCCUUUUGGUUUGGAAUAACACGGGGAAACUUGUGCUAAUACCGAAUAAGCCUUUACAGGGAAAGUUUUAACGCCGAAAGAUGAGCCCGCACUUGAUUAGCUAGUUGGUAAGGUAAAAGCUUACCAAGGCAACGAUCAAUAGCUGUUCUUAGAGGAAGACCAGCCACAUUGGGACUGAGACACGGCCCAGACUCCUACGGGAGGCAGCAGUGGGGAAUCUUGCACAAUGGGGGAAACCCUGAUGCAGCGAUGCCGCGUGAGUGAAGAAGGCCUUUGGGUUGUAAAACUCUUUCGUCGGGGAAGAAAAUGACUGUACCCGAAUAAGAAGGUCCGGCUAACUUCGUGCCAGCAGCCGCGGUAAUACGAAGGGACCUAGCGUAGUUCGGAAUUACUGGGCUUAAAGAGCUCGUAGGUGGUUAAAAUAGUUGAUGGUGAAAUCCCAAGGCUUAACCUUGGAACUGCCAUCAAAACUUUUUAGCUAGAGUGUGAUAGAGGUAAGUGGAAUUUCUAGUGUAGAGGUGAAAUUCGUAGAUAUUAGAAAGAACACCAAAUGCGAAGGCAACUUACUGGGUCACAACUGACACUGAGGAGCGAAAGCAUGGGUAGCGAAGAGGAUUAGAUACCCUCGUAGUCCAUGCCGUAAACGAUGUGUGCUAGACGUUGGAAAUAUAUUUUUCAGUGUCGCAGCGAAAGCAUUAAGCACACCGCCUGGGGAGUACGACCGCAAGGUUAAAACUCAAAUGAAUU